Molecule: non-coding RNA, 10104 nt
Organism: Oryctolagus cuniculus (rabbit)
Lineage: Eukaryota; Metazoa; Chordata; Mammalia; Lagomorpha; Leporidae
Source: RefSeq, a predicted model, not a curated record
GUUGUCUUCUCCUGGGCUUAGCUGCCUUUUAGUUUGGAGGUGGGGGAGGGGGCAGAGUGAGGUGAUGAGGUCAUCAUUGCUCAAGUGUGAACUCAGAAUCCUCACCAGUUGCAGAGGUGGGUCCCGCCCCUGUGGGAGAAAGUGGAGAGCUCGCCGGGCGUGUCGCCACUGCGUUGCCCAGAGUGUUAGAGACAUGGCAUGGCGAGGAAGACCUACCGAGACCUGGAGCUGGGGCUUGCCGCGUUCACAGAGGCCAGCUGAAAGGCCCCAGCACCAGCCAGGAGAGAACUCGGAGUGCGUGAGGUUGCAUUCUUCCCUCCACUCAGUGAGCUCCAGUGCUGGCAGAGGGGUCUGGCCGCGGGACCUGGCCACACAGGAUCUCUUUGGCACUCUCAGCCUCUAAAUCCUCCUGAGACAUGCCGGGAGUCUGGAACUUUCUAAAUAUUUUGUAUACAUUUUAAUUUUUAACUUUCAAAUGUUACAGGUCAAGGACUGGCUGUUGUGCAUUUUCUAUUAGGCAGAUACCUGAGGACCAGUUCAAUGAUGUUUGUGGGUUUCAAACUCAAAUCAGAGUCGUGUUGGAGGGUCCUGGUCUCAUUCUUGUCACCUCGAUCUCUGUAGAACCCUGAGGAAUUGGGCAUAGAAGACGGUGGAGGGGGAGUGCAAGUGCCACACAUCCAGCUGCAGGUGUAAGAUGGCUCUGUCACUGGAGUCUAUGCUAGUCAGUUAUCAUCAAUUUUUAAAAAUGAUUUAUUUAUUUAUUUAUCUAUUUGAAAGAGAGAGAGGGAGAACGUUCUUCUAAUCACUUGUUCACUGCCCAAACAGCCCUCAACAGUUGGGCUGAGCCAGGCUAAAACCAGAAGCCUGGAACUCCAUCUGGGUCUCCCAUGUGUGUGGCUGGGACUCAGGUACUUGGGCCAGGUACUUGCUGUCCCAGGUCCCAGGUACUCAGGUACUUGCUACCUCAGGCCCAUUAGCAGGAAGCUGGAUCAGAAGCAGAGUAGCCGAGACUUCAACCAGGCACUCUGAUGUGGGAUGUGUGUGUCCAAAGCUCUGGCUUAGCCCACUGCACACAACACCCACACCUCUGGAUCACUUUAUAACCAUGCAGGCACCAAAAUCCCAUCAGCAAGACCCACUUGUUUCCGUCUCGGUACCUGUGAUGAGAUGGAAAGACGCGGGCAGAUUUGUAUUCAUGGUGUGAACUGCCCCGCCUGCUUCCCUGAGCAGAGCGCCAGAUGGAGUCUACCCUGAACGCAUCUCCAUGAAUGCUCACGGUGCUAAUUGGUGCUCAGUGAUGUGCCCAUGGCGAGGGGGGAUAAUGAUCGUGAUAAUGACAAUGAUGACGACGAUGAUGGCAGUGAUGACGACACUGAAUUGCAAAUAGUGACUCCAGGGUGAAGACAGUCCUGAGCCCAGAGACAUAAGCAAGAAAGAAUGAAGGAAUAACCCUCAGGACUUUUACGGAGUGUUUCUCUGGGGUCGGAUUAAUGUUUUAAAAAGCCUAAUCACUCUAUUACUACUUAUUAAAAGAACCAAUCUCAGCUGCUGACCCUAUGGGCUGGGCUAAAAUGACAUAACAAUAACAGAAAGUGGAUUGAUGAUUGUUUUUUUAACUAUCUGUGUGUUUUUGAAAGAUAGGAUUUAGUUAUCUACUAUUUCUCUCAAAGUAAAUAAGCUAUCAGAGAUGAGCUAUUAGCAGCUGAGGACAGACUAGAAGCCAGAGAUGGUGUAUGCCCAGUAAUAUCCGAGGGAACCUCAAUGUGUUUGUGCAAAGAGGGGGGGUGCAUACGUUUUCCUAAAGCCAUGCACAGUUUGUUUAAAUUCUGCAUUUUCAUGACUUUUUAAAUUUGAGAAGCAGACACACACACACACACACACACACGACAGUUUCCUUCUCAAGUACCUUCAAUGACUAGGGCUAGGCCAGGAGCUCAAUCCAGGACUCUCUUGUGGCUGGCAGGAGCCCAAGUACUUGAGCCAUCAUGGCUGCCUCCCAGAGUCUGCAUUGGCAGGAAGCUGGCGUCAGAGGCCUGACCCAGAGCUCAAACCUGAGAACUCCAGUGUGGGAGAUGAGCAUCCUAACUCGUGCCUUAACCAUAGGCAACCAUGCCUGCCCCUUCGUGACCUUUUCUUUUUUCCUUUAUUUAUUUAUUUAUUUUUUUUUGACAGGCAGAGUUAGAUAGUGAGAGAGAGAGAGAGACAUAGAGAAAGGUCUUCCUUCCGUUGGUUUAUCCCCAUAAUGGCCGCUACGGCUGGCGCGUUGCGGCCGGCGCACUGUGCCGAUCCAAAGCCAGGAGCCAGGUGCUUCCUCCUGGUCUCCCAUGCAGGUGCAGGGAGCAAGGAAUUGGGCCACAGCAGAGAGCUGGACUGGAAGAGGGGCAACCGGGACAGAAUCCGGCGCCCCAACCAGGACUAGAACCCAGGGUGCCGGCGCCACAGGCGGAGGAUUAGCCUAGUGAGCCGUAGCACCGGCCGACCUUUUCUUUUUAAUUUUUACUUGUGUAUUUGAUUUGAGAGGCAGCAAGAAAGAGAGGGAGAGUGGGGGUGGGGAUGGUCUUCUAUCCUCCCAUCCACUGGUUCACUCCCCAAAUGUAUACAACCACCAGGGCUGGGCCAACCCAACGUCAAGAGCCUGGAACUCAUUUUGGGUCUCCCACGUAGGUGGCAGAGAACCACGCACUCGAGCUGUCAGCUGCUGCCUUCUGGGAUCGCAUUAGCAGGAAGCUGGAGAGGAGUGGAGGAAGGCCUCGGACACAGGCAUUUCAAGUUGUGGAUGGGUACGGGGAUCCAGGCAUCCCAAGUGGCCAUUUAACCCCUAUGCCAAAUACUCAUCUCUUUCAUGAAUUUUUUUUUAAUUUAUUAUUAUUUUUUUAUUUUUGACAGGUCUUUCAUGAAUGGUUCUUAUUUUAUUUUAUUUUUUAUUUAUUUUUUUAUUUUUGACAGGCAGAAUGGACAGUGCGAGAGAGAGAGAGAGACAGAGAGAAAGGUCUUCCUUUGCCAUUGGUUCACCCUCCAAUGGCCUCCGCGGCCGGUGUGCUGUGGCCAGCGCACCGCGCUGAUCCGAUGGCAGGAGCCAGGUGCUUCUCCUGGUCUCCCAUGGAGUGCAGGGCCCAAGCACUUGGGCCAUCCUCCACUGCACUCCCUGGCCACAGCAGAGAGCUGGCCUGGAAGAGGGGCAACCGGGACAGAAUCCGGCGCCCCGACUGGGACUAGAACCCGGUGUGCCAGCACCGCAAGGCGGAGGAUUGGCCUGUUGAGCCACGGUGCCGGCCUCAUGAAUGUUUUUAAAGACCCUUAGGAGUAUAGCUUCCACACUUUUUUUUGCACCAAAAUGAACUUGCCUUUUAACUCCAUUUUCCAUGAUCCUUGUGUAAAAUAGAAGCAAAUAAACAAAGUUGAACACAUCGAAAAGUCAAUAAACAUAAGGAAAAACUACUUGAUCUUUUGUUAAAAUUAAAAAUGAAACAGACCUUAAGAGAAUGGAAAGAUCACCAAAGUCUCGUGUUCCAGUCCUACCUCUGCCACUCCAGCCAGUCAUACAAUCCUCAGAGUGUCUUCUUGUCAGCUAGAAAUAGCAGCACCCACCCAAGGGGUUGUUGGAGGAUUGAGAGGGCAGAAACAAAGUGUCACGCACAACGCUUGGUAUAGGACAUGCUUCAGCAAUGGUUAAUAAUAUCCUGAUGCUACUUGGUUGGCAAGGCAGAGCUGGAGUAAGAGGAUCCGACCAUGAACUUGCUAUAUGAACGAGAGGGGCUUUCGCAGAACUGAGAAGUUCUUUUUGAGUAUGAAGCGUUUUUAAAAAGUUCAAGGAAAAUGUGACUGGGGAAAAAUGCAUCAUCUUCAAAAUUUCUCUGCACCCCAAUAAACUUAUCUUUAAAUCCUAUUUUUCCAUAAACUUUUUAAAUACCUACAUGUUCCAGGGCUCUAAGUUGAAAUAUGUUAGUUCCGGGAAACAGGAUAUUGAGAUGAAGAAAGAAGAUCAAGGAUAAACUUUUUUCAUGUCUGGGUCCCCCAUACACACCAUUCUAGCCUUAAAGUUACCAAAAUACAAGGAUUGCAAGGAAAUGCCUUCAGGAGGGGUGCUGUGAAGAUGAAUAGUGCAAGAUGCCACAAGUGCUGUUCAGGUGCUUGGACGUCCUCAAGAAGAAGGAUCUGCAAACCCAGCAAGUCAGCAACAAAGUAGCACUCUGGCCCUUCCUAGGAAGGACAGACUCUUUCCCAGGCUACCUAGAAUUUCCAGAGUGCCUUGCCCCUUUGGACUUGACAACAUGACAGAUUUAUUUCCCCACCCAUUUCCCUUGCUUUCAAAGUUACCAUUUCCUCCUGUGUACCCUCUGCCCCCCAUUGGUGAUGGAGAAACCUGGGAACCACAGCGCUCAAGAACUUCUGCGGGGGGAUUUUCAGAGGGAUGUGGGUGCAGGGUUCUUAAAGGACGGUGACCAGCCAGCACAGACUUCAUUUUCUAGAAAUGACAGACUCCCAGCUGAUCUUCUGAGCAUAUCUGAGCAAUCAACACCCUGAAUGCCAAGCACAUCAGAUCCAUUCGUCCACACUCCAAGACCCUCUGGGGGAGGCACCGUCAUUUCUUCCCCCUAAAGGAGCUCAGACACCACCACUUCCGGUGACUCUCCCACCUGUUUGAUGGACUGCCCCUUCCCACUCACGACCAGACUCACUGAAGAACCCUGCGAGUGCGUUCCCCAGCUGCGUCUGGACAACUCCAGCGCCGGAGAUGGCUCCGGCGCUUCGGGAAGAAUGGUCAUUAUGUGGAGCCUGAAUCGCCCUUUUUGUGGCAGCCUGUGACUCCUAGCAUCAGGCUGCACAGAGCAAGCUUGGUUCCCUGGUGCAGACACCCUUUUUCCUGUGCCGUCCACCUCUCUCUGAUCUUUCUGAGCUAGGAACUGCCACUUCCUGCAACUGCGCUUCGCAUGACCUGGUUCUGAGUCCCUGUGCCUUCCUGUUGCGAGUCUGACGCUCUUCUUAAAGGGCCGUGGCCCAAGAGGAAAUGUCAGUGGCCCACGUCUGCUCGCUCCACCACAGUGGCCUGGCUUCUCACUUCUUCCACGUUCCUCCUUAUACUCGAGGACCUCCAAGACGCAGCGUGCAGAGUGGCUGGCACAGCUUCUGCUUUGGGGUGACCCGCCAAGCUUGAGGUCAGAGACUGAAUGUUUGUGCUUCACCCCAGGAGAGCCCUCACCACGAGCCACUGAUAUUUUAUGCAGCAGCCCAAGCUAUCUCAGCUACUUUAUUUAUUUAAGAUUUAUUUAGUGAUUUGAAAGGCAGAAUUACAGAGAGAGAGACAGAGAUCUUCCAUCUGAAGCCAGGAGCCAGGAGCUUCGUCUGGGUCUCCCACAUGGGUGGCAGGAGCCCAAGCACUUGGGUCAUCUUCUGCAGUCUUUCCCAGGUGCAUUAGCAGGGCAUUGCAUCGGAAGUGGAGCAGCUGGGACUAGAACUGGUGCCCAUAUGGAAUGGCCAGUUGUUGCAGGUGGAUGCUUAACCUGCUGCACCUCUGUAUGUAAUUCUGAUUUUCAAAUAAGUAAAUAAAUAAAUAAAUAAUUUUUUUAAAAAAUAAGAGGCCAAAACCUUAAUGUCCCAGCACAGAAUGACUGUCCUCCACAUUGGCACCAAUUAGUCAGCCAAUACUAACAAACUCAUUCUUCUUCAUUCCCAUGAGAUAAAUGGCCAAACCAUCAAUUUACUAUAGGGGUACUUCAAAAAGUUUAUGGAAAAAUGGAAUUAAAAGUGGGAGCUGAUUUUGGUGCAAAAAAUCGGGGGGUGCAAUUUUCCUCAUAACACCUGGAAAAUGCAUAUUAUGAAAAAAACUGCACGGAUUUUAAAAUCAAGUUUUCCACCAUAAUAAGUUCAGGCUUUCAGUUCCAUGUUCCAUAAACUUUUGGAAGUACUCUCAUAUAUAUUAUCAAACAUCUUGCUAAACUUGACCCAUUCUUUGUCUUCUACAUUUCCCUGACUGACUGGUACAUGUCAACCCUGUUCAUGAAGGUAGCAAAGUGUUCUCAUGGGUCAUGCCAUUGACACACGUGUCCACCAUCUGUGGUCAAGCAACGGGCUUCAGUGUGCAGAGGCCACUGUUUUCCGUGGCCCUGUUUUCCACGUCUUUGCCGUGGCAUAAUGACCUGUAAUUAUAUGUGUUGUCAUCCACCUGUUGGCCCUAGCACCAGAUAAAGAGCUGUUGGACUUCCCGGUUGAAUGUCAGAUGCCUCUGAAUAUCUCAGAGUUAGUGCAGUAUCCUCCUCAGCAGCUUCUCUUUUGAAUGAAUGAGUGAAUUUUACAUUUUAUUCCCACUAAUUUACUUCCAAUUUUUAUAUAAGAUGAAAGCAGACCCUACUGUGAGUAUUGGCAGACUGUGUUUCGAAGGCAUGAGGGAAGUGGUAUGCCUGGACAAAGCUCCCUGAUCCCCACACUUUCUUAGUCACUGCAUAUAAAACUGAGCUCCUUGGAAAAAGACAUUCUUUGAAAUGCAGUGUGAUGAAAACACUAAGAAGUGAUGACACAGUUCUGAGACAUCACAGCUUCCUUAGAUCUGUUGUAAGGGCCAAAUCAGACACAGGAACGGUGGUUUUACAAAAAAAAUAUAUUGCCUUAGUGGAGUCAUCUAGUCAGCAUAGCAUGCAGUAGGGUUUUCUUUAAGGAUCUUACUUCUGAUGAGACACCCUGUGACGACACUGAGUGCAUCAGUAGGACCUGGGCGAGCUGGACAAGGGAAUGGAGCUUCCCUCUGUGUCACUGCUUUCCUGGACAUCAGGACUGGUCACACACCGAGGGACUCUCUGAUACAUCAGACAGAGCGGUGAGCAGGUGUGAGGAGUGCGGCCAGGGCCUCUGGCUUCCAUGGGCUGAGCGGCUUUCUCGCGGGUCAUGUGUUUCCUGUUUCUUAGAAGCCAGACGAGUUGCUCAGAUACUCUAGCUCUCACUCCCUGAGCAGAAGCCCACAGCCAGGUCCACACCCCUCUUCCACAAGAAGCCUAAGGCAGCGGUUCCCACCUGGGGUGACUCCCCCCCUACCUCUGACCCCAGGAAUAUCUAGAAGUUUCCAGAGACAUUUUUGGUAAGGAUCGGGGUACAAACGAAUAUAGUACAAUGAACAAGGCAGACUCCCUCCAUCGACAAAGAAUUAUCUGACUCAAAAUGGCAAUAUCAAGAAAUAAAACUUCAUGUUACCAGUAUCAGGAGCAUCCCUAUUGGGCAUUCUCAGUCUAGGACUAUGGCUCCGGCCCCAAAGCUAACAGUGCUGGUUCAUUUUAAAGGGUCCUAAUUGCCUGCUGUGCAUCUGGGGAGUAAGUCACAGGUGACAGCACAGGAAGACAGUUGCGAGGCAAAGGUGCCAGGCCUGAGUGCCUGACCCAGUGGACGGAUUUGGAUGGCAGUCUGAAUGGAAGUAGAAGAGUUCUGGAAUGCUCUCUACGGCUAUAGGCCUGCGUUUGGGGCAGCCGACUGCAGGGGAUCUCGAUGACAUCCACUGGGGGCAGCCUCCUUCUCUACCGAUGGAGAGAGGCAGCUCGGUAGGAUCUUCUCUUGUUAAGAUUUAUUUGUUAUUUUAUUUGAAAGGCAGAGAGAGAGAGAGAGAAAGAGAAAGAAAGAGAUCUUCCUUCUAUGGGAUCAUUCCCCAGAUGGCAGCAACAGCCAGAGCUGGGCCAGGCUGAAGCCAGGAGUCUGGAAUUCUACCUGGGUCUCCCACAUGGGUGGCCGGGGCCCAAACACUCCGGCCAUCUUCUGCCGCAUUAGCAGGGAGCUGGAUCGGAAGUGGAGCAGCUGGGACUCUAACUGGCACCCAUAUGGGAUGGCAGCGCAGCAGGCGGCGGCCGCUCAGUAGGAUCCUGUAAGGAGCACCAGUGAGCCAUGUUCAUGGUCAUAUAUGGGCUGUGAAUGACAACUUUUAAAGAUGUAACUGGGAACCGUGAUGAUUCAGGAUGGGAGGCGGACGUGGAACAAACCCCACCUGGCAUAAGUGCUGCUUUCUGUGCUGACUCCGGAAACAGCUCAUCCUCUCGGAGUGAAAGGGGAAGUCCUGCUGCCUGAACCCCCCUACGCUGUCCCCACACUGCUAUCGUUUCUGAUAUGGCCAAUAUUUUAAACAUCACGAGUUUCAUGCAUCAAGGGGAAGCUGGUAGAUUCAAUGAAGCCCCGAGAUACCCCCUGAGAGAUGAUUAUAACUCUAAUUAAAACUGGGACACGACAGAUGAGAAUCUUAUGAGACUCUCUAAGCAAGUGGCGUUUGUUCGUCUUUCAUGGAGAAGAUUACUUUGCUUGUGUCACUCUGGGCCCUUACCAGGAGUAAAAGAUAGGGUCACCAAAUUCCAGCACACUCUGAGAUCUUACUAAAGACCAGGCAAUGCUGUAAAUUGUAAGGGACAAGAAAGGUGAUCAGCCAAGCCAUGCUUCCAUUUCUUAUGUUUCCAGGACUUGUAUUUAGCAGCUCUGUGAUAACACACAGCCUGGACUAUCCGAGGCAUCACUUGAAUGCAUUCUAUCUCAGCGUUGGGUCUAGGUAUGGAAAGAACAAAGGAUGCAUGCAUGGGGCAAAGCCACCAGCAGGAAUGCAGCCUCGGAGGUUUUGGGGACCAGGCAGGUAUGGCAGGUCAGAAUAGGUAGUGCGGACAUGUGCUUAGGUAACUGAACAAAAUUUAAACCAUUAUCAAGUGGGUCUUGGAGUGCAUGGACUACGGACACCAAGGAGAUAGAGAGGCCAGUGUGAAGGGCGCAGGGCUAUAAGGUGUCACUUCUAUCACAAGGCCAGCCGUCUGAUCUUGAUGGUGCUGGCCAGUUGCAGGGGGAUUCCAGGCUCCUGAGAUCCUGAAAGGGGGCUCACCUCACUUGGUAUUCAAGGUGGGGGUGCAGACACAGAGCGUAGUCAGAAAGAGCGGGAAGCAGAAGGGUGUGGCUUGCUGGAAGGCCCUCGGGUUGGUUAGGGCAUCCUCAUUUGGAUGAAACAUGGCCCCAGGUUCAGACACCCACACACAUCCAAAGGCAAAGGCUGUGUCUCUCCUCCUGAUGACAGACCUGCCUCUCCUAAUCUACACAAUCUGUUGCCAAGGAGAAAUCAAAUAGGACAGAGCUGGGCCAACACAAAGCCAACUGCGUCACUGAACAAAGUCUCUAAUGUAACCACAUCAGGGACCCCACAGGGAGCAAACCACAGAUGGGGUGGCCACGAUGCCCACUAACCCGGCACUGACUGCCACGUCCCGCGGCGGGUCUCUGACGGCAGAAGUCCCAUGGCUUACGUUUCAUUCCUAGACAGGAUAGAUGACCCAGGCUCCUUGCAGACCCAGGGCCUGAGAUGCCAUGUUGCCCUGCGAGGAAACGUUUCGUAACGCACGUGACUCUUUUGUUAAUGACUGGCAGGAUCUGGAGCUUCCGCCAGCCGGAGCGUCCGGACCUGGGCAGUUGACUGCCAGAUAGAGGGUGAGGAAAUACUCCUGAACUUACACCAUGCUGAGGCUCAUCUCCAGCCUUACUUCCUUCUCCAGUUCCAGGCACAGUGCACAAAAGAUCUACCGGUGGCUCCCGCAUCGCCUGCAUCUUCCUUGCCCGCUCUGCGUCAGUGUCAGCCUGACACAGCCUCUGAGCGUCCCCUCCGGGCCGAGUUCCUUUCUCCCCACUCUGCACUCCACGUUCACACAACUCCAUCUACAGCACAUGCGGGGCUAUCUGUCCACGUGAUGAUAUUUUCAGGGCAGGAAAGUACUGUGAACUCAGUACUUUGGCUCUGAGUACUGAUAGAAGAGGACGGGGUGCUAGCUCCGUGACCGUCAUGGAGGCUGUGUCCCAUACAGGUUUGUGGGAGGAGGAAGGGAGGGGAGGGGGCAAGGGAGAAGAGAAAAAGGCAGAAAAGGAGCCGAAAGAAGCAAAAAAGACCCCUGUAUCCAGGCAGAGAGCAGGGUCCGCCUUUUUCAGAAAGGACACGGGCCAGGCAGCGUGGGGGGGCCCACCGCGUGGAGGUCCACACAGGAGCUGGCGUGGCCUUCGGUUGCUCCCGGGCUGGCUCUCCCUGUCCUCGCUGGCGGCUCCUCAGGGAAUCCCUCUUUCUUGGACCAGUGAGUGACUUACCUUCCUGGAAGGCCAGCACACUGUGCCGAGUGG